UACGUAGGGUGCGAGCGUUGUCCGGAAUUAUUGGGCGUAAAGAGCUUGUAGGCGGUUUGUCGCGUCGGGAGUGAAAACCAGGUGCUUAACACCUGGCUUGCUUUCGAUACGGGCAGACUAGAGGUAUGCGGGGGAGAACGGAAUUCCUGGUGUAGCGGUGAAAUGCGCAGAUAUCAGGAGGAACACCGGUGGCGAAGGCGGCUUUCUGGCUCGUUUCUGACGCUCAGACGCGAAAGCGUGGGUAGCAAACAGG
RNAcentral lists this ribosomal RNA (253 nucleotides) under uncultured bacterium. RNAcentral's name for it is "partial 16S ribosomal RNA". It matches the Rfam family "Bacterial small subunit ribosomal RNA", at positions 524 to 776 of the family's 1533-position model. The record is from RNAcentral.